ACAUAAUCCAAUAGUUCUAUAAACCAAGUCUUGAAAGCUAGAUUCUCUUUUCCGCUUUUUGCAUCCUUGUCAUUCUUACACUUCUUUUGUCAAUCAUCAAAACCACAAUGUUCCUGUCAAGGCAUAUAUUCACACAACAGUUGCAUGUCUGUGUAUGCAACUCGUCCAGACUCCGAUCAUUAGGUAUUCCUCCUCUUGUCUUUUCUUUUUCAUAUACUCCCUCUGGUUCUUUUUAUAAGGAACACUUUGAAGAAAAAAAAAUUUGUUUUUUUUAUAAGAAAUUUUGACCAAUUUUCAAAUAUUUUAAAUAUUCAAUGUCACGUAUGCCCUUAUAUAUUAUGAGAGAGAAUUUAAAAAUAAGUAAGUUAGUCGAAUAAAUAGUAAUUAAAUAAGGGUAUACAUAAAAUAAAUUUAAAUAUAUAAGAGUAUUAAACAAAAAUAACUAUGUUAAAUGUGCUUUCUUGAUCUGUGUAAUUUUUUUAAAGUGUUCCUUAUA
This 496-nucleotide long non-coding RNA is filed under the name Trifolium pratense (red clover). RNAcentral describes it as "long non-coding RNA (TPRA_LNC010738)". Lineage: Eukaryota; Viridiplantae; Streptophyta; Magnoliopsida; Fabales; Fabaceae. The record is from RNAcentral.